Molecule: ribosomal RNA, 539 nt
Filed under: Staphylococcus sp.
Lineage: Bacteria; Bacillati; Bacillota; Bacilli; Caryophanales; Staphylococcaceae
Description: bacterial SSU rRNA
Rfam family: Bacterial small subunit ribosomal RNA
Source: RNAcentral
UUGGAGAGUUUGAUCCUGGCUCAGGAUGAACGCUGGCGGCGUGCCUAAUACAUGCAAGUCGAGCGAACAGAUAAGGAGCUUGCUCCUUUGACGUUAGCGGCGGACGGGUGAGUAACACGUGGGUAACCUACCUAUAAGACUGGGAUAACUUCGGGAAACCGGAGCUAAUACCGGAUAAUAUUUCGAACCGCAUGGUUCGAUAGUGAAAGAUGGUUUUGCUAUCACUUAUAGAUGGACCCGCGCCGUAUUAGCUAGUUGGUAAGGUAACGGCUUACCAAGGCGACGAUACGUAGCCGACCUGAGAGGGUGAUCGGCCACACUGGAACUGAGACACGGUCCAGACUCCUACGGGAGGCAGCAGUAGGGAAUCUUCCGCAAUGGGCGAAAGCCUGACGGAGCAACGCCGCGUGAGUGAUGAAGGUCUUCGGAUCGUAAAACUCUGUUAUUAGGGAAGAACAUACGUGUAAGUAACUGUGCACGUCUUGACGGUACCUAAUCAGAAAGCCACGGCUAACUACGUGCCAGCAGCCGCGGUAAUA